RNAcentral lists this transfer RNA (72 nucleotides) under Nonomuraea wenchangensis. RNAcentral describes it as "Nonomuraea sp. 210417 tRNA". It matches the Rfam family "tRNA". From Rfam's summary of the family: Transfer RNA (tRNA) molecules are approximately 80 nucleotides in length. Lineage: Bacteria; Bacillati; Actinomycetota; Actinomycetes; Streptosporangiales; Streptosporangiaceae. The record is from Rfam by way of RNAcentral.
CGCGGGAUGGUGUAACGGAAACACACCGGCCUCAUAAGCCGGACGAUGCGAGUUCGACUCUCGUUCCCGCAA